RNAcentral lists this ribosomal RNA (468 nucleotides) under uncultured bacterium. Its description in RNAcentral is "partial 16S ribosomal RNA". It matches the Rfam family "Bacterial small subunit ribosomal RNA", at positions 28 to 507 of the family's 1533-position model. The record is from RNAcentral.
GACGAACGCUGGCGGCGUGCUUAACACAUGCAAGUCGAACGGAAAGGCCCUGCUUUUGUGGGGUGCUCGAGUGGCGAACGGGUGAGUAACACGUGAGUAACCUGCCCUUGACUUUGGGAUAACUUCAGGAAACUGGGGCUAAUACCGGAUAGGAGCUCCUGCUGCAUGGUGGGGGUUGGAAAGUUUCGGCGGUUGGGGAUGGACGCGCGGCUUAUCAGCUUGUUGGUGGGGUAGUGGCUUACCAAGGCUUUGACGGGUAGCCGGCCUGUGAGGGUGACCGGCCACAAUGGGACUGCGAUACGGCGCAGACUCGUACGGGAGGCAGCAGUGGGGAAUAUGGCACAAUGGGCGGAAGCCUGAUGCAGCAACGCCGCGUGCGGGAUGACGGCCUUCGGGUUGUAAACCGCGUUCGCCUGUGACGAAGCGUGAGUGACGGUAAUGGGUAAAGAAGCACCGGCUAACUACGUG